RNAcentral lists this ribosomal RNA (267 nucleotides) under uncultured bacterium. RNAcentral describes it as "partial 16S ribosomal RNA". It matches the Rfam family "Bacterial small subunit ribosomal RNA", at positions 793 to 1055 of the family's 1533-position model. The record is from RNAcentral.
GUCCAUGCCAUAAACGAUGAAUACUAGGUUUUGGGCCCGUCAACGGUCCAGAGCCGCAGCUAACGCGUUAAGUAUUCCGCCUGGGGAGUACGGUCGCAAGACUGAAACUCAAAGGAAUUGACGGGGGCCCGCACAAGCGGUGGAGCAUGUGGUUUAAUUCGACGCAACGCGAAGAACCUUACCAAGGCUUGACAUGGGGAAGACUGGACGAGAGAUCGUCCUUCUCUAGCAAUAGAGCUUCCCACACAGGUGCUGCAUGGCUGUCGU